Escovopsis weberi is the source of this 72-nucleotide transfer RNA. It matches the Rfam family "tRNA". Rfam says of the family: Transfer RNA (tRNA) molecules are approximately 80 nucleotides in length. Their secondary structure includes four short double-helical elements and three loops (D, anti-codon, and T loops). Further hydrogen bonds mediate the characteristic L-shaped molecular structure. tRNAs have two regions of fundamental functional importance: the anti-codon, which is responsible for specific mRNA codon recognition, and the 3' end, to which the tRNAs corresponding amino acid is attached (by aminoacyl-tRNA synthetases). tRNAs cope with the degeneracy of the genetic code in two manners: having more than one tRNA (with a specific anti-codon) for a particular amino acid; and 'wobble' base-pairing, i.e. permitting non-standard base-pairing at the 3rd anti-codon position. NCBI's taxonomy places the organism in Eukaryota, Fungi, Ascomycota, Sordariomycetes, Hypocreales, Hypocreaceae. The record is from Rfam.
UCUUUCGUAGUAUAGUGGUCAGUAUACAAGCUUGUCACGCUUGGGACCCGGGUUCAAUUCCCGGCGAAAGAG